Molecule: long non-coding RNA, 1238 nt
Filed under: Capra hircus (goat)
Lineage: Eukaryota; Metazoa; Chordata; Mammalia; Artiodactyla; Bovidae
Description: lncRNA (ENSCHIG00010029651.1)
Source: RNAcentral
AAAUCAAAGCAGCGUGAAAGCACGGGCUCAUUGGCCAGUACCUGCCAAUUUCCUUCUCUCCUAGAGUCUUUUCCUGUUAACGAGAGAGUCAGAUCCUAUGCUCCCAUUCAUGUGUAAGUGGAAAAGUACAGCCAGUAGCCAUGCCUCCCAGUAAACCCACGAGACCGGAAGUGUGGGAGACCUUCCCAAACCAGUGCUGCUCUGGGCCAGGCUGGCUUUCAGCCCAGGAGCCCCAAGUGGGCUAGGGUGCAGGUCUUCACAUGAGCGGGGCACUCAGGCCUGUGUGUUGAUUUGAAAAAUUUCCCUGGAGGACCCGUGAGUAGUUCCAUAAAUACUUUUUUUGGCAACCUGGGACAGAUUUAAGCCACUAUAAAAAGGGGAAUCAGACUGAUUUUAUUUAAGCCAACACGUUGAAACUGAGAAUGACGGCCCCCUGAGGAAUAUACACAGGAGAAGGUGAUUAACUAGGUGUUACCUUUGAGUGGUUUGGGCCAAGUGACAGUUGCAUGGCAAGCAGAAUUUGUCCUCACGGCGGCGCUGGGUGUCUGACAUGGAGGAGGCAGGGGUUUGACCGGACAUAUGAGAGCCUUGAUCUAAUUUCAGCAUUACCCUCUGGAGAUGAUGGAAGGAUACAGGUGACUUUGAAGUCCAACCAGUUCUGUCUUCAGCCAUGUUCUAUCCUCAGGACCCAGCUACACUGCAGGCCUGGCAAAUGGCAGAUGUUUGACAGGACAGUGAGGCCAGGAGAAUGAGAAGGAGGGGGUCAUACCCACAUCCUUAGGAAAACUGGCCAGACGUGGGCUUCUCAGCAUAGGUAAGGAGCUGGGUGGGGGGUGGGGGGUGUGGGGAGAAGGGAGGGAGGAGGGGAGAAGAAGGCUGCUGGUUCCAGAAGGUUCCAACACCAUCAGAAUCUGCAUCCUCUUCCGAGGACCGGAUUUCUGCCGCACUGUUUUAUGUGAAUUAGGAUGAGCAAUGAGAGACAAUUUCAGCCCAAACCCAGAGUCAGUAACUAGUCUAUUGAAACGUUAAAGUUUCUCAGGGUGAGACCCAGCUGGGUGGCAAAGUCCCUGGGUUCCUAAGUGACAGAAACUAAAAAAGAAGAAGGAAAGAUGCAAUGACAAUAAGUAACUAGAAUAACACUCUUGAGAGUCCCUUGGACAGCAAGGAGAUUAAACCAGUCAGUCCUAGAGGAAAUCAACCUCGAAUAUUCAUUGGAAGGACUGAUGCUGAAGCUGAAG